GAUGAAGAACGCAGCGAAAUGCGAUAAGUAGUGUGAAUUGCAGAAUUCAGUGAAUCAUCGAAUCUUUGAACGCACAUUGCGCCCCUCGGUAUUCCGUGGGGCAUGCCUGUUCGAGCGUCAUUUCAACCCUCAAGCCCCCGGGCUUGGUGUUGGGGAUCGGCGUGCCCUCGCGGCGCGCCGUCCCCUAAAUCUAGUGGCGGUCUCGCUGUAGCUUCCUCUGCGUAGUAGCAACACUCGCACUGGAUCGCAGCGCGGCCACGCCGUUAAACCCCCCACUUCUGAAAGUUUGACCUCGGAUCAGGUAGGAAUACCCGCUGAACUUAAGCAUAUCAAUAAGCGGAGGA
Molecule: unclassified non-coding RNA, 344 nt
Filed under: soil metagenome
Description: partial contains 5.8S ribosomal RNA, internal transcribed spacer 2, and large subunit ribosomal RNA
Rfam family: 5.8S ribosomal RNA (bases 1-120)
Source: RNAcentral